ACAGCCGCUGCCAGCCCCGAGACACAUGGUUCUAAAACAGAGUUACAACCUUCAUAUAAUCUGAGCUAGAACUGGCAAAUGAGUUGGGCAUUGUGCAGUUCUAUGUGUGUUUUGGCUGCGGUCUACAUUAUUUCAACGUCAACCCAGCUCCAUCCAGCUCUCACCCAAAUGGACUUGUUUGAAAUGGAAGAAGUCCAAAAGAUAGAGACACAGCGCCAAAGUGGACUGGAGACAGUCAACCACAAAGGGACAACAGCCUGAUUUAUUUUGCAAGCAGUGGAGUCUACACUUACUGGCUGUUCGAAAUAACAUCGCAGUGCUGUUUUUCUCCCCUUUGAAGCAACAUAAUCACUCUUUAAGUUGAGUGAGACACAAGUCACUUGAAAUUAUACAGUAUUUGGCACAAGGGCAUGUACGUAAGUGGCCUGUUGUUUGAAUAUGAGAU
This is a long non-coding RNA of Phyllopteryx taeniolatus (common seadragon), 445 nucleotides long. RefSeq lists it as uncharacterized. NCBI's taxonomy places the organism in Eukaryota, Metazoa, Chordata, Actinopteri, Syngnathiformes, Syngnathidae. The transcript has 3 exons. The record is from RefSeq and is a predicted model, not a curated record.